GGCCCAGGGACCGGCCCAGGGGCUGGACCAUGGGCCCGCGGCCAAUCAGCACAGCUUUGCGGACCCGGAGAGGAGAGGGGGCUCCCGGGAGUAGGGUGGGGGCGUGCCCAUUGUCUAAGACUGCGGGGAGGUAGAAAAAGUUGGGACUGAGAAUUGGGGGUGGGUAAAGGAACCGUGGGCGGGAGGGUGGCUAGGCGAUGGCGACCAGUAUGGCAGGUCAGGUAUGGGGGGAGGGCUGGCACUGGAUGGGGUGGGCAGGAGGACUGGAGCAGGUGGGGAGGCCGUCAGGAACGCGGGGAAGGAGCGUGCUGUGUUCCGGGCUCUGGCAGGUGGAAGGGUUGAAGCGGCGCACGCUGCGCUGCCAUCGCGCAUUGCGGCGCCUCCUCUGCCAAGGGCCAGAGAUCCCUAAGCCACCCGCCCCUGGUGAGACCACUGCCCUUUUCCCAACCCCAGAGGCCGACAACUGUCCGCGCCGGCUCGCCCCUCACACAGAGGCUCGGGAGAGGACAGGUGGUCGCAGGAGGAAGUCGUGCGUGAUCAGAAUGUUGGGGUCUGGAGAGUCGAGACCCUGGAUACCCAAGGCCCAAGAGCCCCAGGGUGUCCUGUGCCCCGCCCCCAGCAUCCGCCUGUUCUCUCUUUUGUCUCUGCUGCAGCAUCCAGGGAUGAGGCGACCUCCGCGCCCCCUCCGGUCCUGCCCGACCCUCUCCAAGAGUCCACAGCUCCCCGGCUGGGUCCGGGCCCCGAGGCGGCUACGAGGUCCUCAACCUCGUGCUGCUGAUGGGAGUGAGGGACACGCCUAAAAACUGCUGCAGCGCGAGGAACAGGCCACCGGAGACCCAGACACACACACAGCGCGUGCGCGUAGACUCGGAGCACGGACACGCCUUCAAAUCCAGUCUCCUGGGGCCCAAUGACCGGGGUUCCGGUGGUGCUGAGCGGAGCCUGCAGCUGUUGAGUGAGACUCUCCCAGAACCAUCGGCAAGCUGUCAUCGCCUCCCUUUCCCGCUGGGGGGUGGAAGGGGGGCUUGCAGCUCGUUUCCAGUACACAAAGAGGAAUAGAGAACAAAAGCCCAGCAGCCCCCAGACACCCAUUUCGCCCAGACUGAAGCUCAGGGCAGAGUUCCCCAGACGUGGCUACCGUGUGGGGUUUAGGGUGGGGUCGGGAGAGAGGCAGAGGAGUGGAAGGUCCGCCCACAUGCCCCACUUGUGGGGUCCAAGCCCUGGGGCUUGACUCCGAGUUUCUACCCCAGGUCCUACAGUUGCAGAAACGUCGAGGGCGAGCGAUUCCCAAGGUCACACAGCAAGUUACAGACAGGGUUCAGGCCGGAAUCUCGCCUUCCGGGCGCCCCAGACCUCGGGGAAGGUGACUGCCUCUUGGCCUGACCUCGGCGAAGGUCCAGGGCUCUAGGGCUGUGAAUGGUGUCAGCACAGGGACCUAGGGAUGGCGGCUCCGACGGGACUGAGCCUCACGGGAAGGCACCAAGCGAGGGCCGCCCCUGCGCUGCUGCGGCAGACGCGUGGAGAGCGGUCAGCACCCGGCUGCCGGCGCCGAGGGCCUCCACGCCGCGCGGUCAUCUGAGCCCGCCGCCGGCCCCCCACCCCGCGGUCUCAUUUCUCAGCUUCUGUUUCAGAGCCAGAUCUCCGCGGAGUGCUCGCGUGAAAACGCAUGUUCAAGACCGUGUGGAUAAAAGCACGCACCCUUUCCUCUCGGUUUUUCUUUUAGGGGACGGGGUUUGGAAUAGGGGGAGGCUGGAACUCAUCCUUCUGAAAGCCCGGACGCCCUGGGGACUCGGCACUUUUGGUUGAAGAUCUACUUUCCUUUCACACGUUUUGCGGGUAUUGUCCUCCCCCCCACCCCCGCCCCCUUCCGAGCCGGCCUUCUGGUUAACUGCUCUACGCCCCUCUCCCCAAUCUGGAAUUAUGAUGCUGCACAUUUUUAUUUUCACAAGGACCUGAUCUCGUGUUGGAAGACAGCCAAGUCUUUCCCUGAAGUCUUUCAGUUCGUCAGCUAACCCUUAUCAUCCUUAAAUCCGUGUAGCUCUCGAAAAGAAGCUAGUAAGGGGCUUUCAAAGCAAAAAAAAAAAAAAAAAAAAGAUUCGUUCUCAAUUGAGUCCUCCAGCAUUUCUUUUUGUCUGUUUAUUGUACACAGUUCUAGGUCAUUGUAUGUCAGAUGAAGUUAGCAGGACAAUAUAUUUUGUCAUUACUUA
Molecule: non-coding RNA, 2207 nt
Organism: Equus caballus (horse)
Lineage: Eukaryota; Metazoa; Chordata; Mammalia; Perissodactyla; Equidae
Source: RefSeq, a predicted model, not a curated record